Quercus robur (English oak) is the source of this 1159-nucleotide long non-coding RNA. RefSeq lists it as uncharacterized. Lineage: Eukaryota; Viridiplantae; Streptophyta; Magnoliopsida; Fagales; Fagaceae. The record is from RefSeq and is a predicted model, not a curated record. The transcript has 5 exons.
CUGGUGUUUCUCUCUCUGCUGUCAAAACUCAAAACGACGUCGCGGACUCUCUCUCCACCCAUGUUGGUUGAAACUUCUAACACCGCAAGCCUCAACUAACUCACACUCCCCCAGCUCACAGUGAUAGCACAUCAUUAUCUAUCUAAAAAUCUUAGAUUUUUAAAUUUCCUAUAUCUGAUGCAUAAUCUAAGCCCUAACCCUAAUCCUAGUCUCAUCCGAUUCUCUUUCAAUCCAACCCUUCCUCGUCUCAAUGUCCAACAAAUAAAUGGAGAUUUUUGUGUCUUAGGCAUGAAGAAUCUUCAUCUGCAAUACCCGAGUCCGAGUUUGUAGAAGAUAAAUUAUCAGAAGAAUCAGUGAAGCCUGAAUUCAAUCAAAUAAAUGAUGUGCAGAAAGAUUGGAUUUCAAGACUUAGAAAGGUUACAGAUGCACUUUUUUGGUCCAUAAUUAACCUUGGACAGUGCCACGAACAGCAAAGAACAUAAUACAGAGAAAGAGGCAUUGAGUAGUUUGCAAAGCCCGACCUUGUGUGCUUCAUUUUUGUGUUGAAGAUCAUUUUAUCCUAGGAGGCAGACGUCCACGAGUCUCAAAGCACCACAGUGAUUGUGUAAGGAGCGAAAUCUACUUUAAGGAGAUUGUGUAAAACACAAGACUUGAUCUCGAUUGUUCAUCCUUUCAUGCAUUUGGUCUCAAGCAUGGUAAGGUGUACUUGACUGACUGGGAAGAUUAUGUUUGGGUUCAAUUUUACAACCCACCAUGUCAGUACAGUCCAGGCAAUUUGGCUAAAACUUGAAGAUGCUUGGAAGCAGUGGACUACAUCUUUUAAGGACUGCCUGCUGCAUCUCAGGCAUCUGGAAGUGGCUUUCAUUCCAGCAGGACCAGCUGACCUCACAUCGGAAGUUCUUCCUGCCAUUAAGAACUUGGCUAAAUAUGGAGGAGUGAUGCUGUGGUCAAAGUAUUUUGAUGAUCUAACUGGCUUAAGCUCUUCCAACAAGAAUGAUGUCUAAAUUACUUCCUAAUAAAUUCCUGUACUUCCUUGCUGUAUUGGUCAUUGAACUGAUGCUUGUGUACUUUGGUUUUAUAAUUUGAUGUAGUACAAAUAUAGAGUAUAGAAUCACUUUAAACUGUCGCCUACUUGUUUAUGUAUGAUCUCAUUUUUACA